RNAcentral lists this ribosomal RNA (484 nucleotides) under uncultured bacterium. Its description in RNAcentral is "partial 16S ribosomal RNA". It matches the Rfam family "Bacterial small subunit ribosomal RNA", at positions 30 to 507 of the family's 1533-position model. The record is from RNAcentral.
AUUGAACGCUGGCGGCAGGCCUAACACAUGCAAGUCGAGCGGAUGAAGGGAGCUUGCUCCUGGAUUCAGCGGCGGACGGGUGAGUAAUGCCUAGGAAUCUGCCUGGUAGUGGGGGAUAACGUCCGUAAACGGGCGCUAAUACCGCAUACGUCCUGAGGGAGAACCUGGGGGAUCUUCGGACCUCACGCUAUCAGAUGAGCCUAGGUCGGAUUAGCUAGUUGGUGGGGUAAAGGCCUACCAAGGCGACGAUCCGUAACUGGUCUGAGAGGAUGAUCAGUCACACUGGAACUGAGACACGGUCCAGACUCCUACGGGAGGCAGCAGUGGGGAAUAUUGGGCAAUGGGCGAAAGCCUGAUGCAGCCAUGCCGCGUGUGUGAAGAAGGUCUUCGGAUUGUAAAGCACUUUAAGUAGGGAGGAAGGGCAGUAAGUUAAUACCUUGCUGUUUUGACGGUACCAACAGAAUAAGCACCGGCUAACUUCGUG